This 205-nucleotide ribosomal RNA is filed under the name uncultured bacterium. RNAcentral describes it as "partial 16S ribosomal RNA". It matches the Rfam family "Bacterial small subunit ribosomal RNA", at positions 568 to 773 of the family's 1533-position model. The record is from RNAcentral.
AGCGUAGGUGGCUCGAUAAGUCAGAUGUGAAAUCCCCGGGCUUAACCUGGGAACUGCAUCUGAUACUGUUAGGCUAGAAUAGGUGAGAGGAAGGUAGAAUUCCAGGUGUAGCGGUGAAAUGCGUAGAGAUCUGGAGGAAUACCGAUGGCGAAGGCAGCCUUCUGGCAUCAUAUUGACACUGAGGUUCGAAAGCGUGGUAGCAACA